CCUACGGGGAGCUGCAGUGGGGAAUAUUGCACAAUGGGGGAAACCCUGAUGCAGCAACGCCGCGUGGGUGAAGGAGCGUUUCGGCGCGUAAAGCCCUGUCAGCGGGGAAGAAGAAAGACGGUACCCGACCAAGAAGCCCCGGCUAACUACGUGCCAGCAGCCGCGGUAAUACGUAGGGGGCGAGCGUUAUCCGGAAUUACUGGGUGUAAAGGGAGCGUAGACGGCGAGGUAAGCCUGAAGUGGAAGCCCGCGGCCCAACCGCGGAACUGCUUUGGGAACUGUUUUGCUGGAGGAUGGGAGGGGUAAGCGGAAUUCCUAGUGUAGCGGUGAAAUGCGUAGAUAUUAGGAGGAACACCAGUGGCGAAGGCGGCCUGCUGGACAGAAACUGACGUUGAGGCUCGAAAGCGUGGGGAGCAAACAGGAUUAGAUACCCCGGUAGUC
RNAcentral lists this ribosomal RNA (441 nucleotides) under uncultured bacterium. Its description in RNAcentral is "partial 16S ribosomal RNA". It matches the Rfam family "Bacterial small subunit ribosomal RNA", at positions 338 to 795 of the family's 1533-position model. The record is from RNAcentral.